RNAcentral lists this ribosomal RNA (727 nucleotides) under Klebsiella pneumoniae. RNAcentral's name for it is "bacterial SSU rRNA". It matches the Rfam family "Bacterial small subunit ribosomal RNA", at positions 396 to 1114 of the family's 1533-position model. The record is from RNAcentral. Lineage: Bacteria; Pseudomonadati; Pseudomonadota; Gammaproteobacteria; Enterobacterales; Enterobacteriaceae.
GCCGCGUGUGUGAAGAAGGCCUUCGGGUUGUAAAGCACUUUCAGCGGGGAGGAAGGCGGUGAGGUUAAUAACCUCGUCGAUUGACGUUACCCGCAGAAGAAGCACCGGGCUAACUCCGUGCCAGCAGCCGCGGUAAUACGGAGGGUGCAAGCGUUAAUCGGAAUUACUGGGCGUAAAGCGCACGCAGGCGGUCUGUCAAGUCGGAUGUGAAAUCCCCGGGCUCAACCUGGGAACUGCAUUCGAAACUGGCAGGCUAGAGUCUUGUAGAGGGGGGUAGAAUUCCAGGUGUAGCGGUGAAAUGCGUAGAGAUCUGGAGGAAUACCGGUGGCGAAGGCGGCCCCCUGGACAAAGACUGACGCUCAGGUGCGAAAGCGUGGGGAGCAAACAGGAUUACAUACCCUGGUAGUCCACGCCGUAAACGAUGUCGAUUUGGAGGUUGUGCCCUUGAGGCGUGGCUUCCGGAGCUAACGCGUUAAAUCGACCGCCUGGGGAGUACGGCCGCAAGGUUAAAACUCAAAUGAAUUGACGGGGGCCCGCACAAGCGGUGGAGCAUGUGCUUUAAUUCCAUGCAACGCGAAGACCCUUACCUGGUCUUGACAUCCGCGGAACUUUCCAGAGAUGGAUUGGUGCCUUCGGGAACUGUGAAACAGAUGCUGCAUGGCUGUCGUCAGCUCGUGUUGUGAAAGGUUGGGUUAAGUCCCGAAGCGAGUGCUACCCUGAUCCUUUG